RNAcentral lists this unclassified non-coding RNA (312 nucleotides) under plant metagenome. RNAcentral's name for it is "partial contains 5.8S ribosomal RNA, internal transcribed spacer 2, and large subunit ribosomal RNA". The stretch from base 1 to 105 matches the Rfam family "5.8S ribosomal RNA", at positions 50 to 154 of the family's 154-position model. The record is from RNAcentral.
GAAAUGCGAUAAGUAAUGUGAAUUGCAGAAUUCCGUGAAUCAUCGAAUCUUUGAACGCACAUUGCGCCCUCUGGCAUUCCGGGGGGCAUGCCUGUCCGAGCGUCAUUACGCACCCUCAAGCCCGGCUUGUGUGAUGGGCCCCGGCGUCUCGUUCGCGAGACGGGCCCGAAAGGCAGCGGCGGCGUCGACCCGAUGAGCCGGAGCGUAUGGGGACUUCUGUCACACGUUCGCGGUGCGGACCGGCGCCUGCUUGACUUUUCUGAUUAUCCAGGUUGACCUCGGAUCAGGUAGGGAUACCCGCUGAACUUAAGC